GCACUGCAGCCUGCACUUGGGGGCUGGGAGCAUCCCCAGGUCAUAAGAACAGAGUAAUAGAACAGAAUGAUCAGUUAACUCGAUACUCCAUGAAAGAACUGUAGAUAGAGAAGAAACUUUACGGGGUUUGGGGAGACCACAAUAAGAUGAAUGACACUCAAGAAAGUAAUGGGAAGAUUCUGAAACAUGUAAGCUUGCUCAAUUCAUAAAGCAAAACAAGUCGCUUGGCAUCAAAGCCAGCUCGGCUUGCUUAAAUCAAGUGAACUUGCUUAGCAACAAAACUAUGCAACAGAAACACAAGACAUGGCCCCAGACCAUAAAACUGUGGUGGCAUGAGACUUACAUCCGGUCUCACGAAUUCCGCU
Molecule: small RNA, 365 nt
Filed under: Bos taurus (domestic cattle)
Lineage: Eukaryota; Metazoa; Chordata; Mammalia; Artiodactyla; Bovidae
Source: RNAcentral